Molecule: ribosomal RNA, 440 nt
Filed under: uncultured bacterium
Lineage: Bacteria
Description: partial 16S ribosomal RNA
Rfam family: Bacterial small subunit ribosomal RNA
Source: RNAcentral
CCUACGGGAGGCAGCAGUGGGGAAUAUUGCUCAAUGGGCGAGAGUCUGAAGCAGCAACGUAGCGUGGAGGAUGACGGUCCUCGGAUUGUUAACCUCUUUUUAUAUGGGAGUAAAUUAUUGCAUCUAAGGGAUUAUGUACGGCUAACUCCGUGCCAGAAGCCGCGAUAAUACGGAGGGUGCCAGCGUUAUACGGAAUAACUGGGCGUAAAGGGGGCGUAGGCGGGUUAGCAAGUCAGUUGUGAAAUCGUACGGCUUAACCUUAAAACUGCAUUUGAAACUGUUAUUCUGGAGUACAGUAGAGGUAGGUGGAAUUCGUGGUGUAGCGGUGAAAUGCUUAGAUAUCACGAAGAAUACUGAUUGCGAAGGCAGCCUACUAGACCGUAACUGACACUGAGGCGCGAAAGUGUGGGUAGCAAACAGGAUUAGAUACCCGAGUAGUC